CCUACGGGUGGCAGCAGUGGGGAAUAUUGCGCAAUGGGCGCAAGCCUGACCCAGCAACGCCGCGUGAAGGAAGAAGGCUUUCGGGUUGUAAACUUCUUUUCUCAGGGACGAAGAAAGUGACGGUACCUGAGGAAUAAGCCACCGCUAACUACGUGCCAGCAGCCGCGGUAAUACGUAGGUGGCAAGCUGUAUCCGGAUAUAUUGGGUGUAAAGGGCGUGUAGGCGGGAGCGCAAGUCAGAUGUGAAAACGCAGGGCUCAACCCUGGGACUGCAUUUGAAACUGUGUUUCGUGAGUGCUGGAGAGGCAAGCGGAAGUCCGGGUGUAGCGGUGAAAUGCGUAGAUAUACGGAGGAACACCAGUGGCGAAGGCGGAUUGCUGGACAGUAACUGACGCUGAGGCGCGAAAGCGUGGGGAGCAAACAGGAUUAGAUACCCUAGUAGUC
Molecule: ribosomal RNA, 443 nt
Filed under: uncultured bacterium
Lineage: Bacteria
Description: partial 16S ribosomal RNA
Rfam family: Bacterial small subunit ribosomal RNA
Source: RNAcentral